Molecule: ribosomal RNA, 949 nt
Filed under: Lysidice collaris
Lineage: Eukaryota; Metazoa; Annelida; Polychaeta; Eunicida; Eunicidae
Description: partial 16S ribosomal RNA
Rfam family: Bacterial large subunit ribosomal RNA
Source: RNAcentral
CCUUGCAAGACUAAAAAUAACUUCCCAACCCGAAAAUAAAUGAGCUGUCUACAGUUUGCUCAGCGCCCACCGCUUAAUGUUGCAAUAUUAUUGGAAAAACUGUAGUCAGGGGCUACAUACCUGUCACAUUUAUAGAUAGCUGGUUUUCCUAUAACCAAUAUAAGUUGAACGAUGUAGCCCUCAAAUGCUACCUCCACAAUAAAAUUAAGGACAAGCCUAAUUUUCCACCUUAUUUUUUUAGAAUAUAUCUAUCUCAGUAGGCCUACAAGCAGCCUCCCACUAUCACGUGACAGCAAAAAAAGCAAAAUAAAUUCAUCAAUCAAUACCCAAUAAAGGAAUAACGACCCUAACCCCCUGCCCUCCACCUAUGCAAGGACUAGUAUUAUCAAUACCCUAAAAGAAGGAACUCGGCAAACACAUACCUCGCCUGUUUAACAAAAACAUCGCCUGUAGACCACCCCAUUAUAGGUCCACCCUGCCCGGUGAAUUGAUUUUUUAACGGCCGCGGUACCCUGACCGUGCAAAGGUAGCACAAUCAAUUGCCUCUUAAUUAGAGGCCAGUAUGAAAGGGCAAACGAAGGUCUAACUGUCUCCUUUUAACCCAUAAAAACUUAUCUUCAGGUGAAGAAGCCUGAAUCUCUAUAAAAGACAAGAAGACCCCGUCGAGCUUUAGAUUAAUGUAGGACUCCACCAAUAUCAAAUGCAACCCCCUACAAAAAUGUUUGUUGGGGCAACAAUGGAACCCAUCUUCCACCAAAACCAAGACCCCGAGUCUUACAAAAGAUCCCCCAUAGAUCAAAGGCACCAGCUACCGCAGGGAUAACAGACUAAUUCCCCCCACGAGCCCGAAUCAACUGGGGAGUUUGGCACCUCGAUGUUGGCUUAAGAUACCCCUCAGGUGCAGCAGCUUGAAACGGUAGGUUUGUUCAACCUUAAAAAUCUUACAUGA